AACGCACGAGACCUGCGGACCUGCGGAGGGAUCAUUAGUGAACGCCCUCGCGGGCUUAUAACUAUUCCAAACCUCUGUGAACCGUGCCCUUCGGGGCUAUUUUACAAACAUGGUGUAAUGAACGUCAUAUAUCAUAACAAAACAAAACUUUUAACAACGGAUCUCU
RNAcentral lists this unclassified non-coding RNA (166 nucleotides) under soil metagenome. Its description in RNAcentral is "partial contains 5.8S ribosomal RNA, internal transcribed spacer 2, and large subunit ribosomal RNA". The record is from RNAcentral.